AGUUAAAUAGUUUAAUUAAAAUAUUAAUUUUGUAAAUUAAAGAUAAAUUGAUUUUUUAACUU
This 62-nucleotide transfer RNA is filed under the name Pambolus sp. QL-2013. RNAcentral describes it as "tRNA-Thr". Lineage: Eukaryota; Metazoa; Arthropoda; Insecta; Hymenoptera; Braconidae. The record is from RNAcentral.